This 337-nucleotide unclassified non-coding RNA is filed under the name soil metagenome. RNAcentral describes it as "partial contains 5.8S ribosomal RNA, internal transcribed spacer 2, and large subunit ribosomal RNA". The stretch from base 1 to 120 matches the Rfam family "5.8S ribosomal RNA", at positions 35 to 154 of the family's 154-position model. The record is from RNAcentral.
GAUGAAGAACGUAGUGAAAUGCGAUAAGUAAUGUGAAUUGCAGAAUUCAGUGAAUCAUCGAAUCUUUGAACGCACAUUGCGCCCCUUGGUAUUCCGAGGGGCAUGCCUGUUCGAGCGUCAUUUCAACCCCUCAAGCUUAGCUUGGUGUUGGGCUGCGCCAGCGUUGCUGGCGGGCCUUAAAAUCAGUGGCGGUGCCGUUUGGGCUCCAAGCGUAGUAGCAUCUCUCGCUCUGGAGACCCGGCGGUUGCUUGCCAGACAAUCACUAAAAAAACAAAAGGUUUGACCUCGGAUCAGGUAGGGAUACCCGCUGAACUUAAGCAUAUCAAUAAGCGGAGGA